Molecule: ribosomal RNA, 435 nt
Filed under: uncultured bacterium
Lineage: Bacteria
Description: partial 16S ribosomal RNA
Rfam family: Bacterial small subunit ribosomal RNA
Source: RNAcentral
AGCGAACGCUGGCGGCAGGCUUAACACAUGCCAGUCGAGCGGGCACUUUCGGGUGUCAGCGGCGGACGGGUGAGUAACGCGUGGGAACGUGCCCUCUGGUUCGGAAUAACUCAGGGAAACUUGAGCUAAUACCGGAUACGCCCUUUUGGGGAAAGGCUUGCUGCCGGAGGAUCGGCCCGCGUCUGAUUAGCUAGUUGGUGAGGUAACGGCUCACCAAGGCGACGAUCAGUAGCUGGUCUGAGAGGUUGAUCAGCCACACUGGGACUGAGACACGGCCCAGACUCCUACGGGAGGCAGCAGUGGGGAAUAUUGGACAAUGGGCGCAAGCCUGAUCCAGCCAUGCCGCGUGAGUGAUGAAGGCCUUAGGGUUGUAAAGCUCUUUUAUCCGGGACGAUAAUGACGGUACCGGAGGAAUAAGCCCCGGCUAACUUCGUG